GGGUAAGUCUUAUACAACCAGCUCCUGCUGACUCCCCCAGGACCGGAAGGUAGCAAGGGUAAGUGGUUGAGCGGUGUGAUGUAAGUAGCUUACCCAUU
This 98-nucleotide signal recognition particle RNA is filed under the name Bacteroidota bacterium. Its description in RNAcentral is "signal recognition particle sRNA small type". It matches the Rfam family "Bacteroidales small SRP". Rfam says of the family: The non-coding component of the signal recognition particle in Bacteroides Lineage: Bacteria; Pseudomonadati; Bacteroidota. The record is from RNAcentral.